CUUAACCACUUGGCCACGGGCCAGCCCCAGGUCUCUCUUUUUUUAACCAGGGUUUUUCUCAGUCCAUUGGUAUGUGAAGAAUACACUGAUGAAAGGAAAUUAACAAGAUCACUCAAUCAACUACUACUUCACUUAUUUAUUGUUUGUUUUGUAAGGGAAAGAAACUUGCAAUCUUCUUCAGCUUUGUAGGAAUGGAGGAUGGAGAAAAUGUCUUGAAUUUAAAUGGGAGAGAAUUUAGAGCAGUAAGGAAGAACACAUAAGGAAAAUCAGUACUCAUAUUCUCCCUAUUUUCUUCAUGAGAAAAUAAAGCUUAGAGAGGUAAACGACUUAGCAUAGGCUACUCAGAAAGUGGCGAUGUCACAGUUCAAACUCUGGUUCCAGUUUCAAAGGUCGUGUAUUCUCUAUUGUACCUGUUGGUGGUGUCAAAACCUGACUGAUGCAGGUUUCUCGUCCCAUCUACUUAGCCUAUUGACACCCUUCUAUGUACAGGCACAUAGAAAUGCUGGAUAAAAUAUAACAAAACUAUUUUAUAUACAUAACCGAGGAAGAAAGUGAGAGAGAGGGAGGGAGAGAGAGAGAGAGAGAAAAAGUUCCUAUGUGUCAAAACUAAAGAAGAACCUCAUAACCAAUGUGGUAAGUUCAUGAGCUGAUGCCAGAACAGAACAGAGGACAUCAGACAUGGCUAUAGGGCCUAACAGCUGGGAGCUGGGAUUUUUAACACGUCUGGAAUAAAAGAAUUGCUCUUGGGCCUGUGAAAGGUGAAAAGUUGGAACUGAAAUUCAUGCAUAAAGCUGGGACUGAGGAAGAGCUGCUCCCACCACAUAAGGGAACUAUAAAACAUCGUUCACAUACUAUGAAAGCGACUGGCAAUAUUCCUACCGAUUAGAUAUCUGGAUGGGACAAGGUCCCCCACAAUAAAUGGGAAUGUAAAAAUCUGUGUUAAGCAUAGGUAUAGAAUCCAAAUUUUACACUAUUUCCAUAGAACAGGAAUCCUAAAUGGCGAUAUUAAUGUAGAUACUGUAAAUAUUUCAGACCUGUGAAACUCUUGGCAUUUCCGGAAGAAUCAAAAGUAAGACCUCUCCGAAAGGUGACACCCACAUCUUAAAGUGUGCAGGAUUCCACAGGGAAAACAUAUCCUAGCUGAAAAUAUGCUCACAAUUAAAAGUACAAAUUAAACAAGGAAGUGGUCCACAAUCUGGGAGAGUCAGCAGAUACUGUAGGAGGAGUAGCACGACAAGACCCCGAGAGAAUAAAAUAGUCUAAAGCUGUCUGUAAAUUCAGUAUAUUUACAGUCAUGAAAGAGAGAGAGGGAGAAAUAAAAACUUUUAUGAAAGAACAGGGCACUAAAGAAGAACAGGCACAUAUGAAAAACAACCUAAUAGAACAAUUCACAGCGAAAAGCCAGAAACAAAAUUAAACACCACGGCCAAUUUUAAGAGCAGAUUGGCAGUUAAAGAGAGAAUUGAUGACAUGAAAGAUACAUCUGAGGAAAUUACCUGGAGCACUGCAGAGAGAGGUGUGAAAGCCAAGGAGGUGAGGAAAGUUUCAAUUUAGGUCUAAUGGGAAUUUCAAAAGGAGGAAAUUGGGAAGGGGCAAUAUUUUAAGUGAAAAUGGCUAUGAAUUUUCCAGAAUGAAUAAAAGCCAUGAAACUUCAGAAGACAAAUCUGGCUGAUCAUCAGAAUCACCUGAGCAGCAUAUUAAAAUACAACAUGAUGGUUUUACCCCAGAUGUUCUGGAUGGUGUUCAGGGAUAUGCAUUUAAAGAAAGCUUCUCGUUCAUCAGUCUCUAGGGAGUCCAUGCUAAAUGGUGCCAGAAGAUGAUCCCAAGAGAAGGUGGCAAAGGAGUUAGUACGAACACCUGCAACCUCACAGUACCAUUUCCAUUUGUCUUCUCCAACAUCUGUGAUUAACAUCAGAUGACACAUCAUCCUGCCUUCUACUCCAGAAUCCUGGUGGGUUUGAUGAGAAGAAUGCAUGGCCAACGCUUGAGAGUAUUUGGCAAGGCAGGAUUCCUGUCUUACUUCGUAUUUCAUACUAAAUACAAAAAGACACCAUAACUCACCAGUACCAGAAAUUCAGUCUACUUGGUUUAUAUGGACAUCUGUUCUCAGAUUACUGGUGGUUGAUCUAACUGCUAUAAUAAAGGUUAAUUCUACAUUAA
Long non-coding RNA from Equus quagga, 2160 nucleotides. RefSeq lists it as uncharacterized. NCBI's taxonomy places the organism in Eukaryota, Metazoa, Chordata, Mammalia, Perissodactyla, Equidae. The record is from RefSeq and is a predicted model, not a curated record. The transcript has 2 exons.